CAUUUUCCAAGGAAAUCACAUGCAUCACUUUUCUCAUUUUAUUCACGUGCACCCCUUUUUUUCUUUUUUUUCCUUCCUUCCUUUUUUUAUUUCUCUUUUUUCCGUUUUUCAUGUUCUUUUUUUCUUUUCUUUUUCCUUUUUUUUCUUUUAAAAAUUUUUUGCUUUUUUUUAUUCUUUCUUCGUUUCUUUUUUGUAAUUACUUUUUUUUAAAACAAAAUAGUAAAAUAAAAUUAAG
This 235-nucleotide long non-coding RNA is filed under the name Vigna radiata. Its description in RNAcentral is "long non-coding RNA (VRAD_LNC002502)". The record is from RNAcentral. Lineage: Eukaryota; Viridiplantae; Streptophyta; Magnoliopsida; Fabales; Fabaceae.